AUUGAACGCUGGCGGCAGGCCUAACACAUGCAAGUCGAGCGAGCGGCGGACGGGUGAGUAAUGUCUGGGAAACUGCCUGAUGGAGGGGGAGAACUACUGGAAAAGGUAGCUAAUACCGCAUACCCUCAAAUGUGCCCAGAUGGGAUUAGCUAGUAGGUGGGGUAACGUCUCACCUUGGCGACGAUACCUAGCUGGUCUGAGAGGAGGACCAGCAACACUGGAACUGAGACACGGUCCAGACUCCUACGGGAGGCAGCAGUGGGGAAUAUUGCACAAUGGGCGAAAGCCGGAUGCAGCAAUGCCGCGUGUGUGAAGAAGGCCUUCGGGUGUUAAAGCACUUUCAGCGGGGAGGCGUUACCCGCAGAAGAAGCACCGGCUAACUCCGUGCCAGCCGCCGCGGUAAUUC
This 406-nucleotide ribosomal RNA is filed under the name uncultured bacterium. Its description in RNAcentral is "partial 16S ribosomal RNA". It matches the Rfam family "Bacterial small subunit ribosomal RNA", at positions 30 to 526 of the family's 1533-position model. The record is from RNAcentral.